AACGUGGGGUUGGAAGACAUUCACACACUCACGCACACUUAUUACAAAAUUUGCCCUCUCGACGGAGGGUUCGAAUAAAUAAUACAAAUCAACUGAUUAAUCUGGGCUUCUAUGUUGUUGUUACCUCUCUCUCUCUAGGUCUUUCUACAGAUUUUUUAGAGAGAGGGAUAAUUCAUCGGGUGGGUAAUCUGGCUUUAAGGAGCUCCGGUUGUGGGUGGCACCAUGGCUGUUUGCUCCAAGGAUUUGGUAUGGUGUGUGCCGCUGGUGGUGUUGUGUCAUCGACGGUGCUAGGUUGUGUUGAUUAAUAGCUUCCAGUUUCAUCAAUGUUUUGAUGGAGCUUUGUAUUGAAGAUAACGGCGAGGUUAGCCGUAGAUUAGUGGCGAGUAGGCGUUGCCAUCGCGACUAUGUUGAACAUGAGAAAGAUGUUCGCUGUUGUGUGUUUUCAAUCUCAUGCGAUCUGAGCUUUGUAUAUCCAGGUGUACGGGUGGCUAUUUCGUCAAAUUGUAGCUGCUGUAGCUCCAGCUUAGUUUCCGAAGGGUAGUCAUGGGGUUUAUGUGUCAUUUUAUGUUGAUGAUUGCUACGGUGCCAGCAUGGAAUUUUUGCUUCGGCGCCGGUGUAACCAAGCCGUGAGCUGUGCGUAUGGAAGAAGAAGUAGUGGUGUAGACGCGUCUAGUUGUGGUUGGGCGUAAUUACGUGAGUGGGGUGUGUUUUGGGGCAGAGGGACACACGUGCAGUGUGCUGAUGUUGCCGUGUGCAGAUUCAUUUGGUUGGCAUGAGUGCUUCAUGUGACUCAGCCAGGAUCUUUCAUGGGAUAGAUAUUUUCCUUCGUCAUGGCUUUGGUUGAGUGGCUAGGAUGUCACGGCUAUGAGAAGCGAGAUGCUUAUUGGAUUCCAUGCUUUCAUCCGAGGUAGAGACUGGGAGCAAGCGGGGGCAGUUAUUAUUUUUCGAUUGGUUUUGUUGGGUGUUUAGUUAGUUACAUUUGUAUUGUGUGUUUGUUUGUUAUGUUUUAUGAGUCUGUGGUGUGUUUUGUUUAUUUGCCCAUAUAUCCCACCCAAGUUUCCAUCUAUUAUCUUUGAUGGUAGGGGUUACUUAGGGACAAAAAGGAUAUAUGGGCAAAGUGGGGUUCUGUUUUUUUCUGUUGUUCUUUCGCUUUUGCGAGUGUGGUUUUAUGUUGAACGAUGUCCAGUGGUAGUUUUGUGGUGUUUUUUGUUCUUCUAUUAUUUGUUGUUGGGCGUACCUGGGGUAUGCCCCUUGUAAACUUGUACAUUUUAUUGUCUUUAUUUUAUGACUUACUUACCC
This is a long non-coding RNA of Camellia sinensis, 1299 nucleotides long. RefSeq lists it as uncharacterized. NCBI's taxonomy places the organism in Eukaryota, Viridiplantae, Streptophyta, Magnoliopsida, Ericales, Theaceae. The record is from RefSeq and is a predicted model, not a curated record.